GGUCAAUCUUGUAAUGAGAUUGCCAAGAGGGAAUCACGUGCAAAUCGUGAGCUGUCGCGCAACUGUAAAAAACGCCGCUGACGGGCAGAAAAAAAAGUCAUUGGGGGCACUGCUCCUGAGAAGACUUCUGCCAAGAGGCCACAAGCCAGGAGACCUGCCCCAGAC
Molecule: non-coding RNA, 165 nt
Filed under: bovine gut metagenome
Source: RNAcentral